AUUCCUUCCAGUGCCAAGAGAGAGUAAAAGCAGCGCUCUCUGAGAGACCGUUGUGUGGAUUCCAUUGUGGAACCUGAAAUCUGAGCUUCGUGCGCAACGUAGCUUUGCGGCCCCACGUUUGUACCGUUUUUCCCGUCGUGGCGAGUGGAGCUGCUCUGGUCUCCCAUUUAAAUGUGUGUGACGUCGUCGUCGUCGUCGUCGUCGGUGUUUUGUCGUCGUCCUGCGUCGCCACGAGUCUGCGUCCGAGUACGAAUCGGAGUCCGGCAACGGCUUUGGAGUCCGCUACUCCCUACAGUUCUAACGGUACUUCAAAAGCAGCAGCAGCAGCAACAGUUGCAACGCAUGCCGCAGCAGAAAGCAGCGGCAAACCAGCAGCAACAAAUGAAAAUGUAAAGUGAAAAAGAGUGAAACUACAAGU
Long non-coding RNA from Drosophila pseudoobscura, 418 nucleotides. RefSeq lists it as uncharacterized. The transcript is spliced from 2 exons. Lineage: Eukaryota; Metazoa; Arthropoda; Insecta; Diptera; Drosophilidae. The record is from RefSeq and is a predicted model, not a curated record.